GAUGAACGCUGGCGGCGUGCCUAAUACAUGCAAGCCGAGCGAACGGACGAGAAGCUUGCUUCUCUGAUGUUAGCGGCGGACGGGUGAGUAACACGUGGAUAACCUACCUAUAAGACUGGGAUAACUUCGGGAAACCGGAGCUAAUACCGGAUGAUAUUUUGAACCGCAUGGUUCAAAACUGAAAGACGGUCUUGCUGUCACUUAUAGAUGGAUCCGCGCUGCAUUAGCUAGUUGGUAAGGUAACGGCUUACCAAGGCAACGAUGCAUAGCCGACCUGAGAGGGUGAUCGGCCACACUGGAACUGAGACACGGUCCAGACUCCUACGGGAGGCAGCAGUAGGGAAUCUUCCGCAAUGGGCGAAAGCCUGACGGAGCAACGCUGCGUGAGUGAUGAAGGUCUUCGGAUCGUAAAACUCUGUUAUUAGGGAAGAACAUAUGUGUAAGUAACUGUGCACAUCUUGACGGUACCUAAUCAGAAAGCCACGGCUAACUACGUG
Molecule: ribosomal RNA, 497 nt
Filed under: uncultured bacterium
Lineage: Bacteria
Description: partial 16S ribosomal RNA
Rfam family: Bacterial small subunit ribosomal RNA
Source: RNAcentral